Dermochelys coriacea (leatherback sea turtle) is the source of this 1656-nucleotide long non-coding RNA. RefSeq lists it as uncharacterized. The record is from RefSeq and is a predicted model, not a curated record. NCBI's taxonomy places the organism in Eukaryota, Metazoa, Chordata, Testudines, Dermochelyidae. The transcript has 3 exons.
CUCCACGGUGGUCCGGUUCUCAGGAGCUCCUGGCUGAAUCAUUUGGAUGGGGUGUUCCACAUUGUGGAGUAGGGGCAGAAGCAGUAACCACAGAAUUCAAGAUGCACUGAAAAUGAGAAGCAGCCAUAAAGCUGCUUUUAACAUCUGCUUUAUAUGAAGUGAAGCCCUGAUGUCAUGCUGUAUAAUCUGAGCAGAGACUCUUGGAAGGUGCGUGGAGGAGUUUUCAUCAGACAAGGACUGCAGAGCAAGUGUCGGAUCCAGAUGCCGGUUCAUCAGAGUAGUGCUAUGUAGAUGUGAAGGUAGAACUCCAGGGAGCCACUCCCAUUGCUAUGAGGAUAACAUUACAAAACAGUGUCACUGAUGCUGCUUAGGCUCAGUAGUGUGCAGGUCCCCAAGAGCCUUAGGCUGAAACCAGGCUGACCCUAUGACAUGUCUCAGUGCAAGGUGAUCUACUGGAGAGAUGUUACAUGGAAAUGGCAUUCCUUUUGCUCUGAUCCUCAAAGACUACAAAAUACCUUAGCCUUAUCCAUUUAAAAACUCAAAGCUCUUCUGAUGCUUAGGGCAUGGACUCUAGUUUCCUUUGGAUUAGGAUGAGGUUUCAGAAAGAACACCCGGAAAUUAAUGCUUGGGAACUCAGAAACCACUGAUGAUACAAAUCUGGGAUAAGGAAGUAGGACAGGCUUUACCCCUGUGGAGUACAUCAAAAGGAGGAUCAGUCAUUAAAGCUGCCGUCUUCUCAUCAAUACCACGGCGAUUCAAAAUGCUGACCAAGAGUUUCAAAAGUGGAAGCCUGAAGUUAAGUUCCUAUGUCCCUGUUUAGCCAACUAAAUAAGUGACUUGAUUUUUCAAAAGCAUUGAGCAGCCAGUAGCUUUCAGGGAAGCUGGAGUUCCAUGUUAGGUGCUCGCAGCUUUAGAGAUCCUUUUAAUGCUAUGUCUUUCAUACGCAAGAUAUAUAUACCAGAGGUGGCCACAUAUAAAGAAUACGUCUCAUGGUAUUAUACAAAUCCUUUUUCAUUCAACAUUUGGGCUACCCAGGACAGGUCUAAUGUCUCAUCAGCUUUCUCCAUAGGCUUUCACCAAUAGCUCUAUGAGGGACAUUUUAAGUGCCAUCACAACAGUAUCUGGGCACUCUUGCAUAUAUGUGCCCUCUAAUACAAGCUUAGCCAUCCAUUCACCCUCUUCCAUAGAUUCUUAUCCUAAAGGUCAUACUCCAAGUGCAGUGGGGUGGCCAAGCCUACUCAGUAAGGAAAUGCAUGUAUGAAGACGUGGGUCUUGCAGAAUAUUUUAGAGAUGGUCAAAUUCAGGUUCCACCUAAUCUCAGCAGAAGCUUGAUCCAGUUGGAGUCUUCCCUUCAGUGCAGCUACACUGAUUGACAGCAGCUGAAGAUCUGGUUCAUGGAUUAAAAGGCUAGAAGGGACUGCUGUAAACAACUAAUCUGACCUCCUGCAUAACACAAGCCAUAGGAUUCCAGCCAGUGAUUCCAGAAGAGGAAGGAAUUAUUCUCCCCCGCUCCAUGAGUGCACACUGCUAGCUCCAAUCGUCUGGGGUGGAACUAGAACUGGGAAAGCUGACAGAACUUCAGCGGGAGAGAGGAACCACCACUGUAACAUAAUGCAAAUUUGAUCUUUAUUCUUUCUUCUCGCAUCUCGGCCAAGU